AUGUCAUUUGGGACCCUUCACAACCAAUUUAAGCCCCUGUUUGAGUCCCUGGGAUAUUUCGAGCAGAUAUCUUUCAGUGUAGCCACAGCCAAGGACUCCAGAUUUCCAGAUUUUCAAGAACUGGACCUCUUUCAGCCUGAAAGAGCUUGUCAGGAUGUGGCGGGAACACUGGAGGUAGAUUACUUUUUAUUUUUUAAUUUUGGUAAUGUUGACCUUGCUGUGAGAAGAGAGGCAACAACUAGCAAGCACUGCCCCACCAGCGCUGUUACGGGGAAUUAGAAGACCUGAGUUUCUGCCCAGACCCUCAGUGCAAACUGAGGAUGCUCCAUCCAAAGUGAAUUACGUCCUGUGCCUCCUGAUUGCUGAGUGUUCACCUGGACCUUCUGACUACCUUGUACUAUUCCAUCAGGAUACAGAUCUGAUAUCUGGAUUUUUGCCCAUGGUGAUUCCAACCACCUUACUACUGAUGAAGACACCAUUCCAGUGAACCACUGUGACCCAAGAGACAUUUAGCCAUUAUGAUGUGGCCUUUACCUCCACUGCUGUCCUGUUCUACCCAGCACAGCCCUUUAUAGUGAAGUCAGUCCUCAAGCCAAAUAGCUGAAGCUAUUUUAUCACAACAAAGGCCUAGUUUGUUCCAUGAGUGUGCAUUUCAUUUCUUCAGUUAAAGCCUUCAGAGACACAUAAUAAAUUUGGACCAAGGGGUUUUUAGUUACUAAAGCUGUCUGAAGAAAGACAACAUCUCUUUAAGAACAGAAUUGGACCAUACCCCACAAUCACAAAUGAAAGUUUGUGAACUUUCUAGAAUCCCAUCAAGAUCACUGGACCCUGUUUUUCUACUUCAAAUCUGUAGUAGCCUACUGAAUGAGAAAGCAUUCUGACCCAUUUGGGAUCAAAACAAAGGCACAGUGAACUCCUCAUUGCAUCUUCUUUGGGAUUACUCAGGAACCAGAACUUUUCACACAAAUGUAAGAAAUUCUACCAAGGAAUCCCUUUACCUAACAGCAUCUCAAAAGUCUCCAAUCAGAUGCCAGGAAAGGCCUCUUGAUACAUCAAGCAUUUUGUGAACAACUUAUUCUUAGAUCAAUGGUUUUCCAAAGGCUUUGUGACCAUGAAGCCCUUUGAAUGAAAAUUAUGUGGAAGCCCAGAGUGAAAAUGAAGCUGCUCUGGGUGAAGCAGUGAAGCAAGCAUAGCAGCCUGAAGCCUGCCACAGCAUCUUCCUUAACUACAAUGGUGACACCGAGGAGACUUCUUACAACACCUAGAACUCUACAAAACACAGUUUGAAAACCACUGCCCUAGACAGCAAUAUAUUUGACCUGAAUGGCAUUGUGAUCUUUUUCAGUACCUCCAUUCAAUACCAACCAUGUUAAGUCGAUGCCAAACAUUUCUUAGGAAUACUAUGUGCAAACUUAGAGAAGUGCAAGAAGAUGGGCAUGUCUUUGCCCCCAAGAAUAGUCAUGUGGACUGAAAGUGCUGUCAAGUGAACCUAGUUAACAGCCUUCCACCUCAGAUGGACUUCCAGUUACUGUAAUUGGAUAUACCUAGAGAGCAAUUCUAUGCACCCUAUACUGACAAACCCCUUCAACCAACUUCUUUCACAACAAGAUACUCUAGUGGUACUUGAAGUGGAUGAUUUGAAGUCUUGAUUCUCCAUUGAUACCUGAAUUGUUGGCAAGCUGAUAUUAAAGGUGAUGCCAUGUUGAGGCCAACGUAGACCAACCUGUAUAUUUACGCUCUCAUCAGCCAUAGUACUCUACUUCAUGUGCAAGAGAUAACCAUUAACUAUGAAAGCAGAAUUCACAUGCAGCAAAUCCUAAAAGGACUCAGUACUUGUUCAUCAGUCAUCUUUUCAAACUGCAAGUCACUGUAUUGCUCAACCAGUGACAGUUACACUGUUCCUUGGUUUUAUUCAGUUUUUUCUACCAUUUCUGAGAUAACUGAGCUCAUAACUCUUUUGUAAAAAAAUCCCAAAUGAUUCCUUCACUGGCCUAUCUGCCUGUUUGCCAAUAUUAUGACUACUCAGUACUAACUUUGAAACAGCUGAUCCUCAAGAGACAAUCUUUGAAUAUCCUAUCUCAUAAAUGUGAUUUAAGAUGUAACCAUUGGAGAAGAGUUUUUCUAGUCAGUGAGAGAUGUUCUUUUAAGAUGAGUCUCCUCCUGAUGUCUGAUACUGCAAACCAUCAGUAGUAGAGUAGUUGGAGGCAGGCAUUUUGACCAGGCCAUGAUAGCUAGCUUACUUGCUCUGGUAUUUCAAAUAUCUUAUUGCCUACAUUUUUGCUAGAAACAUAGACUGACCUGAAAAAAAAAAAACCUACAAGGACUGCAGCUAAAGAUUUUAUUAGUAGACUCAAGAGCCUCUGUUCUUGUGGAAUCACAUCUGUCUCAGUGCUGUCACCUUACACUGAUUCAGAGUGGCUGACUUCAUUCCUUGCAAUGGGAUAUUCUCAGGCAUUAAGCUGACCUGUCUCUGUAGGAAAGAUUCAUGAACUCUGAGACCAUGUUGAACAAGGAGACUUUGAUUUGUGUUGUGAGGAAAUCUCAUCCCUUUUAUAUCACAAUUUAAGGUCCAGCUAUUCUGAGCUACUCUAAUGAAUGCACUGUUUAAACAUUGGGAAUAGUUAUAUCCCUGUCUCUUAUCCUGUAGACUAACAGUAACUAUAUGACUCACUCUCCAUGUCAUCAAACGAGGCCUAGGUCUGGUUCCUGUAGACUGCUCACCCUCAACAAAUAAAAAAAAUUGGAUGUUGAUUAGCCUGCUUCUAAAGAGGACGUUAUCUUCAAGCUCAGUUUUCUACCUUCCCAUUGUCAGCUCUUAUUUUCCCUCUUUUUCCCUAUACUUUACAGAAGAUACUCAUCUACACUGCCAGUCAUUGCCUUUAAUACUGUCUUACUGAGUAAAGAUGAGUUCUAAGAUGAAGAUGAUCAUCUGCUCAAGAGUCUUUAAUGUACACUGCAUAUAAGAAUUGGUGAUUGGAAAAACCAAAAGUCUAAAACUUAAACCUAGGAGCUUGCCAGCUAUCUUUAUGCCUCAGAUAUCUAAAUCUUUGAACAUGCCUGUUGAACCAGCCUGAGGCUUUCACUUGCUUGUAAGAUGUUUCUCAGAGAUGAGCUGAGUUAGAGAAGGUGAAAACUUUGAUUACCAAAGAAAGUAGGGCCAACUUUGACAAACAUGGCUCUGCUGCCCAGUAUAGCUCCCAGAUGUAGCAUGGGCUCCUAAACAGAACCUCAAGUCUGGAUUAAGGAUAUGGCCUUCUCUUCAGCUAAAAGUUCUUGAGCAGAUGAGCAGGAAAAUGAAAGCCUGAUGUGCCUGACUGGCCUUUUAAGAUUGGAAAAUGAUAUCCAGACCAGCCCUACUGAGUAACCCUCGAGUAACCAGGGUAAAACUCUUACAGAGCUUCAGUAUUAAUCUACCUAUUCUUCCAGAUCAUAUUCUGAUUAAUGGUAUGUGUGGCCCUACUGAAGGUACCUUGUUUAUUUAGCUGAAUCAAGCUCUUGCCUGCCUUUUUUGACACGUUGCUGCAAUCAACACUGACCUAUACCUGAGUUCAGCCUAUCUUGUGCCUAAUUCCACCAAGGAUUUUUGAAUAGAAGCAACCCACACCUCACUCCAUCAGAACUUAAGUAUAGAGGAAGAUUCUAUGCUUGUCUACUGUUUGAUCAUUUUCAUCACCUGGGAGACUUUGCCUAUCCUAUUUGGAAGGAUAUGGCAGAUCAGAAGCAGUAUCAGUUCUGUCUUCAGUAAUAACAGAGAUGAGUCUGGUCCACCAGUACUCACACGAAUGUACCAGUUCAACUUGGCAAAAGACUUAAACACAAGAAAAGUUUUAUGUUCACCUUAAAAUUUACCACUGACUCAACCUCAGAAUUUUUUGCAGUGAUAGGCAAGUUACUUUCACGUCAGUGAGAUGGUUGGGCUCUCAGACUCAUGACCACUGAGUUUUCUUAUGGUAGUGUCAUUCAUAGUAUGCUGUUGGACAUUAUUAUUCCAUUCAAAUGGACUACAGGCUUCCUGAGAACAGAACAAACUUAUCCCACAUGGUGUUUUUUCAGAAUGCUUUUAUUAUACCAAGGAAGAAACAGUGGCCAGCUGUUACCAUUCAACUUCUAGAGCAGAGGUGAAGCUUUUACAUUGUCUCCUCUGAUCCUGGACAUCAGUUGUUUUGGUUGCCCAGCAUCUGUUCCAUCUCAUUGUAACAACUCCCUGAUGUUUCUUGGGAUCACCUCUUUUUUUCAGUUCGUGUGGUUUGAGCAGUCUGACCCACCCUCGGACUUUGUGGGUGGACAUGUAAUUUGGACCUCAUCAAUCAACAAAUCCAUCUCCUUGACCAUGGUGAUUGGUUCAGGAAUGGUUAUAUAAUUUGAACACGUGAUACUCAACCCUAAGUUAAUAAACUGGAGGAAGAGAAGCCCUCUUUAUUGAGAUGCUUUAGCUUUGUAGAAUAAGAAGCUCAAACAGGGCCUACCACAUUGAACCAUUUAAAGAACGAAGCCAACGCAGAGGAAAGCAGAGCCAAAAUAUAGAGAGGCUUGAAUCCUGAUAACAACAUUUGUGCCCCUGGAUCCAACCGUGCCUGAAGCUACUAUAUCCCCUGGACUUUUCAGUUAUGUGAACCAAUAAAUACUCUUUUUGGCUUAAGUUA
Otolemur garnettii (small-eared galago) is the source of this 4643-nucleotide RNA transcript. RefSeq lists it as uncharacterized. NCBI's taxonomy places the organism in Eukaryota, Metazoa, Chordata, Mammalia, Primates, Galagidae. The record is from RefSeq and is a predicted model, not a curated record. The transcript has 4 exons.